UCAGCAGGCUGGGAUCUGCUCUCUGAUUUGGGAAUGCUACAUGCUUCCUCUGCUACUUCCCCCUCCAGCAAGGCUGGAAAUAGGAGUUUGUUUAUACGGUGGAUUACAUUGAAUAAUUUCUCUAUAUUGAACACCUUCAUGCCUGGAAUGAAGCCUACUUGGUCAUGGUAUCUUUUAUGAGUUUUUGGAUUCGGUCUGUCCGGAGCUGGAGUUUCUUUGCUCAGAGCAGCUGGCACUGGGGAUCUGUGGUGGAUGCUGUGGACCACUUUCAUCCCUUUUCUCCCUGGAAGCCUCCAUGUCAUUGCUCUGGGUUCAGCAGCCCCUCCUCUCAUCAAUUUCAGAGUUUUAAAUCCUCUGCCUCUCAGCUAUGGAGCAUGUUAGUCACCGCCACUUGGGAUCAACCUGCUCUCAAAAUUGUUAUGUAUAAAUAGUUCAUUGUUUAAACUUAAUGAUUUUUUGUUCUUCCACCACCUCCAUGUACAUUAGCAUAUCUGUCAUUGUCCUUGUUCAGCAUAUAUUUGUGUUUAUGUGUGUAGCAGAAAAAAAUAAUAAUUAAAAAGAUUAUGAAUAUGAAAAAGAACCGAAAAGGAGUAUGUGGGAGGUUUCUUCCUUAUCAAGGAAGAUAAGGAGAAGAAUUAUGUUACUAUGGUAUUAACUCAAGAAAUAAAGAAAAUCAACAAAAUACACUGGAGAAAAAAAGUCAUCUUCAACAAAUGGUGAUAGGAAAACUGGAUGCACACAUUCAGAAGAAUUAAAUUACACCCAUAUCCACUAGCUUCACUUUUUUUGUUUAACAACUACAACAAAAGAGCUGCAACCACUGAAUGAUUAAAGGACAGUGUUGAGUGUUAUAUUUUAUGUUUAAUAUAUUUUAGUUGAUUUUGUAUAGAAACGAUCCAGGUUUCCAUAUAUCGCAAAAGAAUAUCUACUUUUUCAUAUGUCACUUUUAAAAAUAAGCAGCUCUUCUCCUGUGUACUGUUUGGGACAGAGUUGAGAUCACACAAACCACAUGCUCAACCUCUAUGAAAAGAAUCUUAAACAAAUAUUACAUUGUGGCCAGUGACACAAUAAAAUGUCUCUAUUAAAUGGCUUAAAGUAUCCUGCUUACAGCUUCAUUAUCUUUGUUAAAGGUUUAUAUGGCUAUUUUGGGUAUC
Molecule: long non-coding RNA, 1154 nt
Organism: Psammomys obesus (fat sand rat)
Lineage: Eukaryota; Metazoa; Chordata; Mammalia; Rodentia; Muridae
Exons: 3
Source: RefSeq, a predicted model, not a curated record